GGCUCAGGACGAACGCUGGCGGCGUGCCUAAUGCAUGCAAGUCGCACGCAGAGUGCUUGCACUCUGAGUGGCGCACGGCUGAGGAUCACGUGGGAACCUGCCCCUUGGUGGGGGACAACAGCGCGAAAGCGCUGCUAAUCCCGCAUACGCUCGCGCAAGCGCGGAAAGCGGCAACGCGCCGAGGGAGGGGCCCGCGGCCCAUCAGGUCGUCGGUGGGGUAACGGCCUACCGAGCCAAUGACGGGUAGCUGGUCUGUGAGGACAGACAGCCAGACUGGGACUGAGACACGGCCCAGACUCCUACGGGAGGCAGCAGCAAGGAAUUUUCGCCAAUGGGCGCAAGCCUGAACGAGCAACGCCGCGUGGAGGAUGACGGCCUUCGGGUUGUAAACUCCUUUUUCAGGGGACGAUGAUGACGGUACCCUGGGAAUAAGGCUCGGCUAACUCUGUGCCAGCAGCCGCGGUAAUACAGAGGAGCCAAGCGUUGUCCGGAUUGACUGGGCGUAAAGCGCACGCAGGCGGACGCGCGCGUGGGGUGUGAAAUCUGGCCGCUUAACGGCCAGGCGCCAUCCCAUACGGCGCAUCUGGAGCCUUGCAGAGGUCGGUGGAAUUGCCGGUGUAGUGGUGAAAUGCGUAGAGAUCGGCAGGAACACCCAGGGGGAAACCAGCCGACUGGGCAAGUGCUGACGCUGAGGUGCGAGAGCGUGGGGAGCGAACCGGAUUAGAUACCCGGGUAGUCCACGCCGUAAACGAUGGCCACUCGGCCUUUGGGAACGGAAUCUCCGUUCCUGGGGGCCUUAGCAAACGCGGGAAGUGGCCCGCC
RNAcentral lists this ribosomal RNA (822 nucleotides) under uncultured bacterium. Its description in RNAcentral is "bacterial SSU rRNA". It matches the Rfam family "Bacterial small subunit ribosomal RNA", at positions 21 to 873 of the family's 1533-position model. The record is from RNAcentral.